Molecule: long non-coding RNA, 1460 nt
Organism: Ailuropoda melanoleuca (giant panda)
Lineage: Eukaryota; Metazoa; Chordata; Mammalia; Carnivora; Ursidae
Exons: 3
Source: RefSeq, a predicted model, not a curated record
ACUUCUGGGAUGUUGGAAAUAAAAGUGUUACUUCUGUGAAUGCGGUACCAGACCAGGGUGGAGGGAGGGUUAGAGUAUAAUUCAUGCUUUUUUGCUCAGGGCUGGUCCAAGGCCCUUUGGGUACACAUGGUGCGAGCCAAAGGACUCUCUGCUCCUGAAAUGGCCCUCCUGCUGCCCCUCAGGACAUAGACUCCUCAGUACGUGAGUAUCUUUAUUUGCUUAAAGCCACUGCUAAAAGGCAAAUGUGUUACCUGUGGGGAAAGGGGGUACACAUUAGCACUGACUUGCAUUUUGGCAUUGAUUUUUUGAACAAAUCAGUACGUAUAAAGACAUACAAAGUCUUAAGGAGAUGGGAUGAUAGGGCAGUUUUGUGAGAAGAGGGGGAAAGGGAAAAUGAACAAGCAUAGGGAACUGGCUAUAAACAGGCCUGGGCAAGGCACACAGUGGGCUCUUGCGGGAAGAGUCACAGGGUGAAUAUUUAAAGGUGUGCUGUGGUAUUGGGUAAGGGCGAUAAUGCAAAUGUGACUCCUAAAAAGUCUGUCUAGGGCUGGCUCUUGUGUAUUUAUUCUAAACCAGGCUACCUUCUUUUCAGCAGCAGGGAAGAUCAUCACUGGGGCUCAAAUGCCUCAGCCACUGAAUCUACCCGUAGGGGAACCAUGCUCCACUGGCUGCAUUCUGCAAAGAAACUGAGGCCUUUGGUGAUUUCCUCUGAUGGGGCUGCUGCCCGGUAGCUGGGACACACAACCACCAAGUCCGGGCCCGACACAGCUGACUGAAUGAGAACCAUUUAUGGGAGCUACUAUUAAAGGCAUUGUCUUCCUGGAACUGGCUGGAUAAACCUAGCCACACGGUGGUCCUGGUGAAGUCUUCCACGUUUCCAGCGCAACAAUGAGUGUUAACAGCUCACCAAUGGAAGUAAAGCCUGGAGGGAUCACUGUCUCUGUGCAAUGGAUGGCGCCAGCUCUGCCCUUUGCUGAGAGGGUCAGUAAUGGAGGACAUCCACCAAAUGCCCCAUUGACCAGCCCCUUCUCUCCCCCAACCAGACAGAGCCAGCCUGCACUUCUGCCUUUGGUUCGAAGAUCCCUAAUAGACCCUUAGGCUGUGUGCCUGAGGCGGAAAGAUAGACCCAUUCAGGUCUAUCAGGAACUCAGGAAGAGUCCCCAGAACAGACUGAGCCCCUCGGUACAGAGGUGAAACAUCCAGUCCUAUUUUCUGUGGCGCCAGUACUCUGUUCAGGGACAACACUUUUCAGUAUUUAUAGCAGUUCAAGAGGAGGAAUGCUUUUCUCUCGUGUGCCUCAACCGUUCUUUUCUUGCCUCCCAUUUACAUUCUUUUAAAAUGAAAUUUUCAUUAUUCCCAUUUCAAUUUCUAAUGUUGUUUUCUGGGUUUAUGAAGUGAUAUCCCAGGUGACUUUAUAAUAAAUUUCUUUUCAGUCCCAUGAUUGCUUUCAGUGUAUGAAA